RNAcentral lists this unclassified non-coding RNA (147 nucleotides) under soil metagenome. RNAcentral's name for it is "partial internal transcribed spacer 1". The record is from RNAcentral.
UAAUAAGUGUUUUAUGGCACUUUUUUAAAUCCAUAUCCACCUUGUGUGCAAUGUCAGUCGAUCUUCUUCAUGGAGAUCGACCAAACGAUCAACCUUUAUCUUUUAACUCUUUGUCUGAAAAAUAUUAUGAAUAAACAAUUCAAAAUA